Molecule: non-coding RNA, 2939 nt
Organism: Benincasa hispida (wax gourd)
Lineage: Eukaryota; Viridiplantae; Streptophyta; Magnoliopsida; Cucurbitales; Cucurbitaceae
Source: RefSeq, a predicted model, not a curated record
GGUAGCGAAGUACUGGUGGCUGGCAGCAAAAAAAAAAAAAAGGACUUUCUUUUCUUUUCUUUUCUUUUCUUUUUUUAAGAAAAACAAAGCUGGACACCGGCACGUAUGUCACACUUUCUGUUUUUUGAAGAAAAAACAGAACUGGACAUGUCACACUCCCUGUUUUUUAGAGACUUUGAUUUGAAGAAGACGAAAAAACCGUGAAUGAAGAAGAUAGGCCGCAAUUUUGACCAUUAAGAAAAUUCUCAGGUAGCUAAUGCACGAUUUCAAGCUGCUGGUGCAAUUCGAGAUGCUGCUAUUAGAGAGUGGAGUUUUCUUACUGCUGAUGUCAAGAGAACUUUAAUUAGGUCAUUUUUUACUUCUAUGAAUACUUUACUUUUUGCUUUCGUGUUUCAUUGCAAUAUGUUUCUAAAACUGCUAGGCGCACUGGAAGGACAAAAGGAAUUGUUAAUUUACUUGUGCUAUCUUGGCAAUGGUUUGGGGCACUUGGUGGUAGAUAAAUGCAAAACAGUUGGGAGGUGUGGGAUUUAGAAACAAAAUAUUGGGGUAUGACAGAAGAAAUUUGAAGGAAGAGGAGCAGAGUGAGAUGAGUUUGGUUUCGGAAAUGAUUAGUUCUUGAAAUGGUCAUUUCUUGGUUCGAUCUCUAGUUCAUAAAUUGCAUGAAGAUGAUGGCCUUCUGGAUUUAAUUUGUUUUCAAAGAUUUGGGAAUGAACUCCCUCAAAAAGGGUAAGAUCUUCAUUUAGUCUGUUUGUUUGAAGAGCUUCAAUUUGAAGAUUAAUGUCCGUUGUGUGGCUUAAAAUCAUUCUCAAUGUUCGUCAAGUUUGGUGGAUGCCAAAAAUUUGUUUCAUAUGGUUUCCUUAUAGGAGUUUGUGGAAUCAACCAUCUACUGGAUUUGAUGGGGCUAUCAUGAGUAACAUCAUUUAACUAGUAAAAGUGUCAAAUAAUUGUUAUCUGGGAAUCAACCACCCUUGAUUGGCUUUGUGUCACUGAGGCAUGUGAAAGAAGUAAAAGAAACUAUAGGGGAUUAUGAUUAAACCUAUGGUGGCCUGGUGUCAGACGACGCCUGGCCACCUGUGUACGAUAUCAAGAUUUUAUGAGUUUUUCUUGAUAAUUAAAUGUGCUUGGGUAAGAUAAUUGUCCUGUAGCAUGCAGCUGGUUUGAAUACUAAUAGUUAUUGUAAAAGAAAAAUUGUUAUGUAUUCAUUGAAAUGGAAAGAAAGCAAGGAAGCUGUGAAUUAAUACUGUAAACUAAUUUGUGGAAUAUGUGGCUGGAAAGGAAUCAGAAGUGUUUAACACGGUGGUGCUCGGAGGAAGGGUUAGCUUGUGCUAAGCUAAUUGUUCUUUGUGGGUAUCAUAUUUUCUUUGAUUGCUCCUAUAUUCAUCAUAUCUUGGAUCAAGCUUCUCAGAAUUUUCAACUUACUUUGGGUUUUCUCCAAUACUUUGAAAAAGCCAUUGUUUUGCAACUUCUUUUGGAUUUUCAAUUGGCUCCAUUGUCGACUUUUCUCUGGAUUAAUGUUGCUAAAAGCUCUUUAAUCAGAAUUUUGGUUGAACAAAAAUCGGAGAAUAUUUCGGAAUUCUCCUAUUUCUCACUUCAGUGGUUUUUCCGUUGGUUUUUAUCAUGGUGUAUUUUGAGUAUUCACAUCUUUUCAUUUACUUUAUGAAAAGUUCCUUUUUUGUAAAAAAAAGGAUCUUAAGAUAGGGAGUUUGAGGGACAUUCUAAGUAAGUAUUAUAAUUGGGAGCUUUUUAAAUAGCUUUGUAUGGGUUGUUGAUAACUUGUAGAAAUACAAGUUAUUUAUACUGUUUUAUUUAGAUAUUGCGGCUAAAAGAGAGAAAAGUUGCGUCGAUUGUAUGGAAAUUAGCUAAGAAAUGCAAGAAUUAUGAAUUAUCGUAAAUACACCCACUGACACUAUUGCGAUGGUAGAAAAGAAUGUUUCCAUUCUGUUUUACAGGAAAUCAAGUCACCACAUGCGUUAAUGGCUCAAGAUAAAAAGAACAACGCAUCUCCGUCGCAUUAUGCCCGUCAACCAAUAAUGAAGAGACGAUCAACGCAAUGACGGUGCAUGCGAUAAUCGAUCCAGAGCUUAACUUCCACCGCAUGCAGUAAUCAAAAACAACACUGCAUGCUGACAAAUGAUCGAAGAUGCAAAAGAGCAAUGCAAUUGCAGAGGAUUUAGACACAUGUACAGCUAACCGUUGUGCAUUUCUGAUGGGAUUGAUUGCAUAACAGAGAAAUAUUCAUUCCACCAUUUCUGGAGCUGCCUUAACAAUAAAGUGGGGUCCACACUGCAGAGAGUCAAAGGUGAGCCUAUAAAUAGCCUUGGCCAUUCCAUUGCAAAAUAUACUUGAUACAGGCAUAUUUUGAUAUUUGUAUAUUGAGAGAGAGUCUAGUCUGAAGAGCCUGAUUGGAGAAGAUUCGGGAAGAAUUAAGAGACAAGGCCGAGAAGUUAGUCUUAGGACAAACCCUUUCAAUCCCCACCGUUUAAGCUCUGUACCAAGGUCACUUCUACUGGACGUGCAAGCCUUAGAGGGAAGCUCUUCUAUCCAUUCAAUCAAUUUGCCAGCAAGCAAAUCAACCGUCCAGAUCUGUGUCAAGACGUUGACACUCUUUUGUAUUUGUUUCGAUCUCUUUAUCAUCAAUUGUAUUCACCUUCUUAGUCUAUCAUUCACACCAUGUAUCAGACGGUAAAUAUUAGUAUUGAAUGUCAUGAUCAUUUUCAUCUCCAUCUUUCUGCCUAUUUCCGUUCUUCCAUGAAUCGCUUUCUCCACGAUGUUUUCUUAAUCCCUUGGUAAUUAAUAAGAAUUAAGCAAGUAAAUUAAUCUGUGCUAAAGAAAUAAAUAUGUUUAGCUAAAGCAUGCUAGACGACAUCUUCACCUGUGAGAGCAGAAGUGAAGAUGCCAUUCCUCCUAUUGAGAGAAGGCUGGAAGAAUACGUUAACUAA